Molecule: RNA transcript, 6005 nt
Organism: Oncorhynchus kisutch (coho salmon)
Lineage: Eukaryota; Metazoa; Chordata; Actinopteri; Salmoniformes; Salmonidae
Gene name: tumor protein D54
Exons: 7
Source: RefSeq, a predicted model, not a curated record
ACGCCUUGAACAACGUCAUCCACAGACGCCGGAAAAGGCGCAACCUGAGAGUUCAUCAUCGAGCUGAGGUGGCUUUAUUAUUGGAGCGAGUACUACCUGUUCGUAUCUGUGUUCCUCGACGAAUGAGGUUGUUAUUGUUGAGUAACUGUCACGCCACAGGUUUCGUUUGAUUGAGUGGACGGCACUGCUAGCUAGUUAGCCACCACCCUUUUCCAUUUACUAGCUAACGUCGUUCUCCCUUUAAGGCUCAAACACUCCGCUCAUUCGACGCCAUGGACCCCGUUGGUCAAGACAUCAACCUGAACUCCCCCAACAAGGGCCUUGGCCCCGCAGGAGGAGUAGACUCUCUAACGGAGGGGGGAGCCAUGGGAGUAGCAGCUGCCAACACGCUGCCCCCAGGGCUCACGGAGGAAGAGGCAGAGGAGCUCUACUCUGAUCUAGCCAAGGUGGAGGAGGAGAUCAACACCCUGAGACAGGUGCUCCUGGCCAAAGAGAAGCAUUCUGCUGAGCUAAAGAGGAAGCUGGGGCUGAGCCCCCUCAACGAGCUCAAACAGAACCUCACCAAGGGGUGGCAGGAUGUCCAGACCUCCAAUGCGUAUAAGAAGACUUCUGAGACCCUGUCUGUGGCUGGACAGAAGACCACCGCUGCCUUCUCCACCAUGGGCACUGUCCUCAGCAGGAAACUGGGAGACAUGAGGUACAGACCAAGACACAAAAUGGCUGCCGCCGGCCCUUCCUGUAGAACAGGGGUGGAAAACCAUAGAAAUAGAAUGACUAGAUUUUAUUUAUUUAAUUAUUAUUAUUAUUAUUAUUAUUAUUUAUUUUUUAAAGCCCCUCGGAUAACAAAUGUUUUCACUGUUACAGAACAGUGACUUGGGUAUGUUAAUUGUAGUAUCUAUAUAGACCAACCCUCUAGGGCUGUAGCAAAUCUACUAAUCAGCUGUACCUCAGGAGCUUGAUUAGCUGAAUCGGGAAUUACAGCAGGACUGGAGCAAAUACCUAUGUACUACCCAGUAGUUAUCCAGGAAGAGGGUUGAUGCCACAGAUACCUUAAAGGUAAGGGAGUGGAUCAGAACAACAGUCAGUAUCUGGUGUUGCCACCAUUUGCGUCAUGCAGCGCGAAACAUCUCCUUCACAUAGAGUUGAUCAGGCUGUUGAUUGUAGACUGUGGAAUGUUCCACUCUUCGAUGGCUAAGUUGCUGGAUAUUGGCGGGAACUGGAACGCUGUCGUACACGUUGAUCCAGAGCAUCCCAAACAUGCUCAAUGGGUGACAUGUCUGGUGAGUACGCAGACCAUGGAAGAACGGGGACAUUUUCAGCUUCCAGUAAUUGUGUCCAGAUCCAUGUGACAUGGGGCUGUGCAUUAUCAUGCUGAAACAUGAGAUGAUGGUGGUGGAAGAAUGGCACCACAAUGGGCCUCAGGAUCUCUUCACGGUAACUCUGUGCAUUCAAAUUUCCUUUGAUAAAAUGCAAUUGUGUUCGUUGUCUGUAGCUUAUGCCUGCCCAUACCAUAACCCCACCACCACCACGGGGCCCUUUGUUCACAACGUUGAAAUCAGCAAACUGCUCGCCCACAUGACGCCAUACAUGUGGUUGCGGCCGGUUAGACGUACUGCCAAAUUCUCUAAAACGACGUUGGCUUAUGGUAGAGAAAUUAACAUUCAAUUCUCUGGCAACAGCUCGGUGGAUAUUACUGCAGUCAGUAUGCCAAUUUCACGCUCCUUCAAAACUUGAGACAUCUGUGGCAUUGUGUUGUGACAAAACGGCACAUUUUAGAGUGGCCUUUUAUUGUCCCCAGCACAAGGUAAAGUGUAAAGAUCAUGCUGUUUAAUCAGCUUCUUGAUAUGCCACACCUGUCAGGUGGAUAGAUUAAUCUUGGCAAAGGAGAAAUGCUCAUGUAAACAAAUUUGUGGAUCAAAAAUUUGAGAAGCUUUUUGUGUGACUAGAACUUGUCUGGGCUCUUUAUUUCAGCUCAUGAAACAUGGGACCAACACUUUCACAUGUUGAGUUUAUAUUUGUGUUCAGUGGAGAUACUAGCUGUGGUGAUGGCAUGUGGACCAUACUUUUGUACAGCUAUGUUGAAGAUGCCUUUAUGGUUCAAAGCAACGCUGUCAUUCAUGUUAUACAUAUGUUAAAUAAGCCCAUCUGUCCAUUCAUCACCUACACUUUAAUCACCCUCCUAAUUACAUACUAACUCUACUAUCUAAGGGACCUGGGAAUAUGCUUGUUCAUUAACAUUUUAAGUCUACUUCAGUGUGCGUGUUGGCAUCCUCCCCUGUUCGAGCCGUGGUUUCCCAGCUCCGUUGCGCCCCCGGUUCGAGCCGUGGUUUCCCAGCUCCGUUACCCCCCCCCCCCCCCCCCCCCGGUUCGAGCCGUGGUUUCCCAGCUCCGUUACCCCGCCCCCCCCCCCCGGUUCGAGCCGUCUAACACCCCCUACAGUGGGGCUUCAUGACAUGUGUCCCUGUUCGAUGCCAUCUAACACAUGUAGCCACCAUGGCUGACCUGCGUAAAAUUCUUUGUCCCUUAAAAUCAUGUCAACAUAUGGUUGUCCCAAAUGGCUCCCUUUUUCUCCUAUCUAGUGCACUACUUUAGACCAGAGUCCUAUGGGACCCUAUUCCCUAUAUAGUGCACUACUUUAGACCUGAACCCUAUGGUCAAAAGUGAUGCCCUAAAUAGUGUGCCAUGCCAUCUAGGACACUUCCUCUGCAACCCUGCCCUACAGUAGCUUAUCUAUGCCCCAACCAUAGGCUAACUCUGCUCGACCCACCACUGCUUGUUCCUCACCCUGUUUUCGUGUUUCCUGUUUUUGUUUUUUAAUUGCUGCGAUUGGUCUACAGAGCGCUGCCUUUCUCAAACUCCUUUGGGUAAGAGUACUCUGCUGCUGCUGGGAGCCGAAACAUCCCAAUUAAGCUACUUGAUCGACUUCUAUAGCAGAUCUGUACAGUAAAUACUGCUAGUCUGUAUACUGAUCUGCUGCAGGAGUUAAUUCAUUUGAACUUUUAUUGAAUGCUAAUUUGUCAUCCCUCUUGCUGUUAUGAUCAUGAAUAUCCUAUUGAUCAGUUUCCCUGUAUAUGAGUAUGCCUGUUAAUCUGAUUUGUUUGACUGAAGUGGUCACCAGUCUCCUCAACUUGCACAGACUUUGUCUGCAGACAUUCUUUAACUGGGUUCGUUGUCUGCUCUUGAAUCUUUCUGUCCCUUUUAAAGAUAGUUAGAAGAAGCAACAUUGUAUCUGUCUCCAUUAGGGCAUCUGAGAGCAUGGGGACAGUGACAUUGAGGACAUCUCCAUUUUGAAGUAGUCCAUUUACUUCUACGAUCUCUGAGUUGGUAAACAAGCUCAAAGGGUGCAUACUGCCACCUGGAGGGUGUUUGAACAGGUAUGAAGCCAAGGCUGGUGGUUUACUGCCACCUGCAAUUAUGAAAUGUUGUCUGAUCCCUCCUGACGACCUAGUUGGCAUCAUGUGAUCAUUAACCCUAGAUGACUACUUCAAAAUGGUGAAAGUCAUCAAUGGCGCUACCCAAUGCUAAAACAAGCUUUUGGGGUUCUAGAGUCCUCUCUCUGCUUGGCUCCUAACACUCACACUUCCUUGUCUCCUUCCCUUUAAUGCUUACAAAGUAGCAACUACUCCAUCCGCCAAUCGAUAAGUAUGCCAACGAUGAGAAACUCUCCGACCUUCAAGUCGUUCGAGGACAAAGUUGGGAACAUCAAGUUGGGCUGAUUUUGUGUCCCUUCGCUGCAGCACAGUACAUGGUGGUUGGACCCAGACGUAACGGAGAAGCUGUCCAGUCCCCGACCGAAACUAACCCCGUUCAGGACAACGCACCCUUCUGAAGCUCCUCCUUCCGCGCUUAUCACCGGGACUGUGACGACAUCAUCGCUGAGUGACCCUUGACCUGUGACAUCACCCUCCACACCAUAUGCCAUUACUCACUACUGCCUCCCUCCUCAGUUACCUAUAGCCCAGUCCUAAAUGGGCCCUUGGCUCCUAGGCCCUUGUGGAGAUCUGAUUAGGACUGGAUAGGUGUAAGCAAUACGGCAACAAUUCCAUGUAUCCUAUGAGAAGGUGGAGCCACUCACCAUAUUGUUUAAACCGAUCUGAGUUGUUGCCAGAUUUGUCCUCACCGAUCUAGUCAACUUCAUCUCUACACAAGUACCUCGGGAGUUAUGGGCUUAAGGGUCGAUCUAGAAUCUUCCUCAGCCUCCUCGCCUACUAAAAACAUAUGCAUAUCUCAUCUCAGUCGACCGCAAAGGACAACCGGUUACACAACAUCAAAUCACCACCGCUUGUAAAAAAAAAAUAAAAAAAAAUGUUAAACCAUUUUGUAUUUAUAACUAUUUUACACUGCUUUUACAUAACUUUACAUAUAGAUAAAAGUUAUAUAUGAAUAGAUAUAUUGUAAACAAUACUGCAAGUCGGCAUUUAUCAGUAGGUAAGGAGGAUGGAGAGUCUCGAGGAAACACGAGUGCAAAAAAAAAUGUCCAAAAGAGGAGAGGGAAUAUAUGUCUAAAAUAAACAAACACUAUGAAUACAACAACGAUCUCUGUUUUCUACCCUGCUGGGCAUUUUACUUCAGUUUAUUUUCUACACUGAACAGAAUGUGAAGCAAUGCUUUGCUGUAUAGCUACCUGGCGAAUGUAGAAAUUGUCUUUUGGCCUUAUUCUUUCACUCCUAUUACUUUGUUGGUAGAAAGGGUUCUUUCUUUUGGGGAUUUUGUUUUUUAAGUUGUAGAAAAGGGUUUAAAAGAGGAGGGGUUUUAUCACUCUGAGUUGGCUCACUGCUGAUGUGCCACAUCUGAGAUGAUUUACUUUGAAAUUCAGUCCAGACAUUCUGACGUUAUUAUAUGAAGAAUUGUCCCCAUGUCACAGAACUAAUUCCCCACCGUGUGUGUGUGUGUAUAUGUGUAUAUAUAUAUGUACACACUUGUCUCGUGCAUACACUCCCACAGACCCUGACUAACGUCACUGUUAUGAUCACCAACACUUCCUGUUUUAGCCAGUGUGGACUAAUCCAGCCUUUUUAACGCGGAUGAUCAACUAGCUGUCACCGUUAUCCUGCCACAACCUUCAACAGCAGCCGUUGGUUUGGUAGCACCGCCACUUUUUGUUUUUUUUUCAACAUGAAGUACCUACAUUUUUUUUUUUUUUUUGCCUGAUUUUUAGUCUUUCUAUCCAUGGGAUUGGAUGUUCAUUUUGCCUUUAUCCUACUUAAGUAAUUUACUUAAAAAAAUAAAAAAAAUCUGUUCAUUUUUAGUAGUCCUACUUGGGUGACGCAUUUUAGAUUCUUCUCUUGGGUGGAGUAGAAGAGUCAUUUUUGUAUUUAAGUGCCAUCUGUAAAUCGUUUUGAUUUAUUAAACCUGCCUGUUAUAGUUUCUCUCUCUCUCUCUCUCUCUCUCUCUCUCGAGAAUCCUAAAGUUUAGAUUUCAUUAGGAUGCCCAUUUAGUUGUUGCGCAUGCAGCAGCUACUCUUCCUGGGGUCUACAUGAAACUAAAUAUAUGACCGAGUACAGAACCGUUGUAGACGAGAACAGAAGAUAAUAGUACCGAUACUGGUUUCCCAGACCCAGAGAAUCUCCAUUGAGAAUACUUUUUAGUCCAGGACUGGUCUUUAAUCUGUGUUGGCAGACCGGCCCACACAGGCAGCCUAAUUCUGAUGUUUUGGACAAUUAUUGUUAAAAGAUCUGAUCUGAUUGGUCAAAAGACUAAUUAGCGACAAAAGAUCAGAAUUGGCCUUGCCUGAGUAAACGCCGUUUUAAAUACAGUAGGUUUGUAUUGUCUCUGGUUAUGACAUGGCAAAGAGAAAGGCAUUCUGUAACUUGUGUAGAGCUGCAAAUACAUGUUUGGGUCAAAUGUACAUUUUUGCAACGGGAUGAAAGAAUGACUAUGUAAUUGCUUUAUUUAGGCCGUGAGUCUAGUUGUAGACAUUAAAGGGAUCAGAUAAGCGAAUGUUGGCUGAAAAAACAUUUGUUUUUAUGUUUGGAUUUCAAUAAAGCAUUAAUUUAAAUAAAAGA